Long non-coding RNA from Lagenorhynchus albirostris (white-beaked dolphin), 678 nucleotides. RefSeq lists it as uncharacterized. The record is from RefSeq and is a predicted model, not a curated record. Lineage: Eukaryota; Metazoa; Chordata; Mammalia; Artiodactyla; Delphinidae. The transcript has 3 exons.
ACUGAAGUCAACAGUAACAGACACUCUGGACCAGGCGGCUCUCUAAACCGGGCACCUGGAGACCCCCCCCACACACACCCGGACCCUGCCCUCGAGGCCUUCAAGAUCGGUACACUUGACAGUGAAUCGUGGGUUUGCAGGGAACUGUGACAAAACUGCCUCCAGCAAGACCCCUGUGCAGAGCUCUGCAGACAGGAUGGUGUGAAGAAUGAAAGGAGAGAUUCGCUGGAGCCAUACAAGCCAUGGAGGUGACAGAAUAUGAAAAGUUGGGACUUCCCUGGUAGCGCAGUGGUUAGGAAUCCGCCUGCCAAUGCAGGGGACACAGGUUUGAGCCCUGGUCCGGGAAGAUCCCAUGUGCCGUGGAGCAACUAAACCCAUGCGCCGCGGAGCAACUAAGCCCAUGUGCCAUGGAGCAACUAAGCCCAUGCGCCACAACAACUGAGCCUGCGCUCUGGAGCCCGCGAGCCACAACUACUGAAGCCCGCGUGCCUAGAGCCCAUGCUCUGCAGCAAGACAAGCCACCUCAAUGAGAAGCCCGCACACUGCAAUGAAGACCCAAUGCAACCAAAAAUAAAAUUAAAAUAUAUAUAUAUAUACACACACACACACACACACAUAAACAGCUCUCAUUACUCAGUACUUAGAAGUUUUGAAUUCAAAAUUGUAACCAUUUUUAAC